GGUUAAGCGACUAAGCGUACACGGUGGAUGCCCUGGCAGUCAGAGGCGAUGAAGGGCGUGCUAAUCUGCGAUAAGCGCCGGUAAGGUGAUAUGAACCGUUAUAACCGGCGAUACCCGAAUGGGGAAACCCAGUGUGAUUCGUCACACUAUCAUUACGUGAAUACAUAGCGUAAUGAAGCGAACCGGGGGAACUGAAACAUCUAAGUACCCCGAGGAAAAGAAAUCAACCGAGAUUCCCCCAGUAGCGGCGAGCGAACGGGGAGGAGCCCAGAGCCUGAAUCAGCAUGUGUGUUAGUGGAAGCGUCUGGAAAGGCGCGCGAUACAGGGUGACAGCCCCGUACACAAAAGCGCAUGUGUUGUGAGCUCGAUGAGUAGGGCGGGACACGUGGUAUCCUGUCUGAAUAUGGGGGGACCAUCCUCCAAGGCUAAAUACUCCUGACUGACCGAUAGUGAACCAGUACCGUGAGGGAAAGGCGAAAAGAACCCCGGCGAGGGGAGUGAAAAAGAACCUGAAACCGUGUACGUACAAGCAGUGGGAGCACCCUUUGGGGUGUGACUGCGUACCUUUUGUAUAAUGGGUCAGCGACUUAUAUUCUGUAGCAAGGUUAACCGAAUAGGGGAGCCGGAGGGAAACCGAGUCUUAAU
RNAcentral lists this ribosomal RNA (645 nucleotides) under Salmonella enterica. RNAcentral describes it as "partial 23S ribosomal RNA". It matches the Rfam family "Bacterial large subunit ribosomal RNA", at positions 1 to 688 of the family's 2925-position model. The record is from RNAcentral. RNAcentral also lists the same sequence under 1 other name. Lineage: Bacteria; Pseudomonadati; Pseudomonadota; Gammaproteobacteria; Enterobacterales; Enterobacteriaceae.